Molecule: RNA transcript, 1788 nt
Organism: Oncorhynchus keta (chum salmon)
Lineage: Eukaryota; Metazoa; Chordata; Actinopteri; Salmoniformes; Salmonidae
Gene name: RING finger protein 150-like
Exons: 8
Source: RefSeq, a predicted model, not a curated record
UUGAUUUGAGGUUUUGAAAAAGGAAGUGUGUUUUUUUUCCCCCUUUGGCUUUCUGCAGCCCUACAUGAAGUAGCUAGUAGAGGAGGAGGUGUGUUUAUACACAGAGAGAGAGAGAGAGAGAGAGAGAGAGACCGGGGGAUGGAUGGAAAACAACCCGUUCGUUAUGGCGUAACUAACUAACAGUAUCUAGUUGUAGGUGUGGACGGUACUGCAGACGGAGAUCAUAAUAAACCCAGAUAGUUCUGAUCAUGUCGUUGAUGCAGGCCUGCCGCAGUUUAGCCCUAUCUACAUGGCUCCUGACGUUUUGUUUCGUUCACCUCCUCUGUUUGGACUUUACCGUCGCCGAGAGAGAGGAGUGGUACACCGCUUUCGUUAAUAUCACCUACAGAGACCCGGUCACCUCUGAAGUCCGGACGGAGAAAGCAGAAUAUGGUCGAUACGGGGAACACUCGCUUAAACGCGACGCAAAGGGAGUCGUGGUACUUCCUUCUCUCUCUCAGGAUAGACAAGCCUGUGAUCCCGGUACCCGGUUCUCUGUUCCGGUCCAAGGCAGUGCGUGGAUAGCCCUGAUUGCCAGGGGAAACUGCACAUUUAAAGAUAAGAUAAGACACGCAGCGAGCCAAAACGCCUCGGCCAUCGUCAUAUUCAACGUUGGAUCCAGCGACUCCAAUGAUACAAUCACCAUGCCACAUUCAGGUAUGGGUGACGUGGUUGCCAUCAUGAUCCCCGAGCCUAAAGGUCGUGAGGUCGCUGCUCUGCUGGAGCGGAACGUCACGGUAACCAUGCACAUCACCAUAGGAACGCGUAACCUCCAGAAGUACGUGAGCAGGACGUCGGUGGUGUUCGUCUCCAUCUCCUUCAUCAUCCUGAUGAUCAUCUCUCUGGCCUGGCUCGUCUUCUACUAUAUACAGAGGUUCAGAUACGUCAACGCACGAGAUCGCUACCAGAGGCGUCUGGGAGAUGCAGCUAAGAAGGCCAUCAGUAAGCUGCAGGUCAGGACCAUCAGGAAGGGAGACGGGGAGACGGAGUCAGACUUUGAUAACUGUGCCGUGUGUAUCGAGGGUUACAAGCCAAACGACGUGGUCAGGAUACUACCCUGCAGACAUCUUUUCCAUAAGAACUGUGUGGACCCCUGGCUGCUGGACCACAGGACCUGUCCCAUGUGUAAGAUAGACAUCCUCAAAGCCCUGGGCAUCGCUUUAAAUGCAGACUGUCUGGAUGACCUGCCCUUGGACUAUGAGAUGGUGGGUGGGGUGGGGGUGGAGGGUCUGGUCCUGGAGGCUGUGGUGUCGGCAGGAUCCAGUGACGGUACCCUCAGUGAGGGGGGGUCGGUGGUUCUAGACCCGGGGAUGCGGAGGGUGGGGCUACCCCAAGACUACCACGACCCAGACCCUCUGACGGACAGUCCCAUUACUGUUACUACUGAUACCCACACAGGUGAGACUACUGAUACCCACACACACAGGUGAGACUACUGAUACCCACACACACAGGUGAGACUACUGAUACCCACACACACAGGUGAGACUACUGAUACCCACACACACAGGUGAGACUACUGAUACCCCCACACACAGGUGAGACUACUGAUACCCCCACACACACAGGUGAGACUACUGAUACCCCCACACACACAGGUGAGACUACUGAUACCCCCACACACACAGGUGAGACUACUGAUACCCACACACACAGGUGAGACUACUGAUACCCACACACACAGGUGAGACUACUGAUACCCACACACACAGGUGAGACUACUGAUACCCACACACACAGGUGAGACUA